Triticum dicoccoides is the source of this 560-nucleotide long non-coding RNA. RefSeq lists it as uncharacterized. The transcript has 3 exons. The record is from RefSeq and is a predicted model, not a curated record. NCBI's taxonomy places the organism in Eukaryota, Viridiplantae, Streptophyta, Magnoliopsida, Poales, Poaceae.
UCUUUUAUAGCAGACAUCUGGUCAGGCCCUGAAGCAGCUACAAUCUCUUUCAUUUGGUUGAUAUGGCUCUCUUUCUCCACAAGAGCUGCCUCCAGUUCUUUCUGGGUGUUGGUAUGUGUGUCCUAGGGCCGCAUUUAAUGAAUAAGAGGACUAAACUCAGGUCACUGGUUAUAUGCUUAGAGCACUCCAGAGUUCAGGUGAUAAAUCACCAAAGUGGGGCAAUCACAAUCUACUGGUAGCAGUGCAAAAGAGAUGCAAGCACAGAGAAGUGGCAAACCAGUUCUGAUGCAUGGCAUGCCAGAAACCGUAUCCAUACCUCGAGGCGGACCUGGAGGGACAUGAGCUGCUGCUCGCGUUCCUGGAGGAGGACGGAGAGAAGGCGCCGUUCCCUCAUCUUGUGCAGCACGCUGACGCUCAGCGUGGCGGCACCGACAGCCAGCAGCAGGAGCAGCAGUGCACCCUCUCACUAGCAUCCUUCCAGGCUCUCCAGCCUUGGCUCUGUUUAUUGCGGACCGGGACGGCAUCUGUGGCCGCAGUGUGAAGAAACUUGGCCUUCUUUU